AUUGAACGCUGGCGGCAUGCCUUACACAUGCAAGUCGAACGGCAGCACGGGAGCAAUCCUGGUGGCGAGUGGCGAACGGGUGAGCAAUAUAUCGGAACGUGCCCAGUCGUGGGGGAUAACGCAGCGAAAGCUGUGCUAAUACCGCAUACGAUCUACGGAUGAAAGCGGGGGAUCGCAAGACCUCGCGCGAUUGGAGCGGCCGAUAUCAGAUUAGCUAGUUGGUGGGGUAAAGGCCCACCAAGGCGACGAUCUGUAGCUGGUCUGAGAGGACGACCAGCCACACUGGAACUGAGACACGGUACAGACUCCUACGGGAGGCAGCAGUGGGGAAUUUUGGACAAUGGGCGCAAGCCUGAUCCAGCAAUGCCGCGUGCAGGAUGAAGGCCUUCGGGUUGUAAACUACUUUUGUACGGAACGAAACGGCCCUUUCUAAUACAGGGGGCUAAUGACGGUACCGUAAGAAUAAGCACCGGCUAACUACGUGCCAGCAGCCGCCGUAA
Molecule: ribosomal RNA, 500 nt
Filed under: uncultured bacterium
Lineage: Bacteria
Description: partial 16S ribosomal RNA
Rfam family: Bacterial small subunit ribosomal RNA
Source: RNAcentral